Molecule: ribosomal RNA, 252 nt
Filed under: uncultured Bacteroidales bacterium
Lineage: Bacteria; Pseudomonadati; Bacteroidota; Bacteroidia; Bacteroidales
Description: partial 16S ribosomal RNA
Rfam family: Bacterial small subunit ribosomal RNA
Source: RNAcentral
UAAGGAGGAUGCGAGCGUUAUCCGGAUUUAUUGGGUUUAAAGGGUGCGCAGGCGGCGAGUUAAGUCAGCGGUAAAAUUUCGGGGCUCAACCCCGGCGAGCCGUUGAAACUGGCUGUCUUGAGAUGUCGAGAGGUAUGCGGAAUGCGCAGUGUAGCGGUGAAAUGCUUAGAUAUUGCGCAGAACUCCGAUUGCGAAGGCAGCCUGCCAAGCCAUGACUGACGCUGAUGCACGAAAGCGUGGGGAUCGAACAGG